RNAcentral lists this ribosomal RNA (775 nucleotides) under uncultured marine organism. Its description in RNAcentral is "SSU rRNA". It matches the Rfam family "Bacterial small subunit ribosomal RNA", at positions 119 to 871 of the family's 1533-position model. The record is from RNAcentral.
GGGUAACCUGCCUAGAAGUGGGGGAUAACCUGGGGAAACUCGGGCUAAUACCGCAUACGACCGCGGCACUGCGGUGCUGUGAGGAAAGCUGGUCAAUGCUUGCAAACUGGCGCUUUUAGAGGGGCCCGCGCCCGAUUAGGUAGUUGGUGAGGUAAUGGCUCACCAAGCCAACGAUCGGUAGCCGGCCUGAGAGGGCGAUCGGCCACACUGGGACUGAGACACGGCCCAGACUCCUACGGGAGGCAGCAGUGGGGAAUAUUGGACAAUGGGGGCAACCCUGAUCCAGCAACGCCGUGUGGAGGACGAAGGUUUUCGGAUCGUAAACUCCUGUCAGUUGGGACGAAAAGCUGUCGGUAAAUAGCCGGUAGUCAUGACGGUACCAGCAGAGGAAGCCCCGGCUAACUCCGUGCCAGCAGCCGCGGUAAUACGGAGGGGGCAAGCGUUAUUCGGAAUUAUUGGGCGUAAAGGGCGCGUAGGCGGCUUGGUAGGUCAAAGGUGAAAUCCCUCAGCUCAACUGAGGAACUGCCUUUGAAACCACCUGGCUAGAGACUGGGAGGGGGUAGCGGAAUUCCAGGUGUAGCGGUGAAAUGCGUAGAUAUCUGGAGGAACACCGGUGGCGAAGGCGGCUACCUGGACCAGUUCUGACGCUGAGGCGCGAAAGUGUGGGGAGCAAACAGGAUUAGAUACCCUGGUAGUCCACACUGUAAACGAUGGGCACUCGGUGCCGCGGGUGUUGACCCCUGCCGGUGCCUUAGCUAACCCGUUAAGUGCCUCC